Molecule: unclassified non-coding RNA, 4415 nt
Filed under: Hevea brasiliensis (rubber tree)
Lineage: Eukaryota; Viridiplantae; Streptophyta; Magnoliopsida; Malpighiales; Euphorbiaceae
Source: RNAcentral
UGUCAAAACAGUUCUAUGAAAGUACUACUUGGAAAACAGUUGCCUGCAACACCCAGCAGAUUGCACUCGUAGACCAAGUGCCUCACCAGUUACAACCUCACUUAAAAGAUCUUUAAAGAUCAAGCGCUCAACAUCCAGAACUAACAAUGGGAGUUCACUACUAUAAGUCGUCCAAUGCGUUGAUUGAUGCUUCAAAUCUGCCCGUAAGAUGUUUCCCAAACAGUCAUCCUCAUCUUGUAAGCUGCAGUGUGAGGCAUUACCUUGCAGUCUGUCUACCUCGGAGCACAAUUCCCCCAAAAGCUUUUGUCCUCUUGGUCUUCUGUCCGCUAGCAUAUUUGGUGAGUGCCAAUACUUCGAACAACUUUCCAGACGUAAUUUGUGAGCUAGGAUUUCAUUCACAACAUCAAAUACAAGUUUUCUUUGGAUUUUGAUAUGAUGUUCUGACUGGGAAGCAUUUGCUCCCCUCUCUUUAUCAUUUGAAUUCGUGGUGCCUGCCUUAGCUUUUUCCAAGGCUAGGAAUAAAUCGGGGUCGACUGGGUAGCGUGUUUCAUGGAGGUGAAUGAUUGUAAAACCAGAUUCAAAAUCUUUCAGGAGACCUGAUGACAAUAGGAUUUCUAAAAUGUAUUGAUGGUCUGGGUUUGUCCUGUUGUAGUGAGGUGUAAUUUCAUCAAUGAAGGGUACCUUCUGAGCAGAUAACAUCAGUGUAAGAUCGUGAAUUAAGAGAUGGAUGUUGUCCGAUUUCUUAUGAUUGAUCACAGAAUGGAAAAUAUCGUUUGUGCUGCUGGAAGAGUGAUUUAGGUCCGUAGGAUUCCACUCAAUCUCAUCUUCUGUGGCACGAAAAUGAAUUGAGAAUUUUUAAAAAAAAUGCAUUUUUCAAUAAAUAUAACCAUGAAAGGGUUUGCUCUAUCCCUCUCCUUCUCGGACUUAUCAUGUAUGACUUCUAGUCAUUUAUAGAUAUGAUCCAUCUGUUAUCUUUUUUUAUUUCCUUAUAUUUUGUUGAAGCAUGAUCUCUAACGGUUUCAUUCACUAGUGUCCUUUUUCUUACCUUUUUCCUCCUCACAAGAUAUGAUUAUUAUAUCAUUCAACUCUUAAAUAAGGUCUGAGUAACUAUUAAAAGAGGAACUUGGAUCCUCACCUUUGAAGGCAACUGGUUUCUUCUUAAUGGGAGAUGGCAAGUCAUCAUUGUAGAAUGUUGCAUCAAGAACAGACACAGGACUUGGUUGUGCCGAGGAAACUACUGCUGGUUCUGCAAUUGAUCUAUCUUUCAUUGAUCUUGCUACUGUUUUCUGAAUGAGAGAAAAUGAAUCUGUCAAGUAGAUAGUUUGAAUGAUAUACAGAUGAAUAAGAGGAAGAAAAUAUACUUUUCGUCUCUGGUGAGCUUGCUGGAUAGAGUUGUUAUUGAUAUUAUUAGAUUUAUCAAUGCUUGAGACUUCUUCAUCAAUUUGUGAGGCUAAGCUAAUUGUACUCUCGGAUUGCAGUGAAAUUGUGUCCCCUUGGUGACUUAAAUCCCUCACAUAACUACCACUAUCACUCAAUUCGUCAUAACUUGGCUCCAGAUUUACAGAUUUUGGUCUCAGUUUUCUGCCUGGGGAAGCUGCUUCUGUAAGCUGUCUACUGGACUGCCUCUGGUUCCUGAUUGAAUCUGUUGAUUGUGUUGUGGGACGAGGUUGCUUCUCCAAACCAGUCUUUUUAUGUGGCUGUCUCAGGUUCAAGUUUCCCGAGCUCUUACUUGAGUUCUCUCUAGUAGUGGACUGAGGCCCUUUUGAAGUUUGCGACAGCUUUGUCGAUCUGGCAGCAGUAUUUUUAUCCACUGGACGAGAUGGUAGAUUGGAUCGGUCCCUAAGACGGUUGGCCCUGGGAGUUAGAUCUUUAGCAGUUUGCUUGUCAAUUAAUUCCUUUCUGCUAUCUUCAGAGUCAGCAGUCUGGAGUCCAUGCAGAACUGAAAAACUUUGAGUUGGGCUUACUGGGGAAGCAGGAUUACUGGCCUUGAUGAGUUUAGCAGGUUUCAUAAUCACUAUUGGAGAUUUAAAACUCUUUGGUGAACCAGUCUCCCUGGUAAGGUUGGAAAUGGGGCUAUUACUCUGGAGGUUGUACAGACUUGGUAAUUUUGAAUUCUGAUGGACAUUGCUGUUAGUGCGUGCCUGAGUUCCUAACUUUGUAUCUUCAUUUCUGGUCUCUAUUAUCUCUGUUGUCUUCUGCAUUGCUUCGAGUAUUUGUUUAAGAGCUCUGAGAUCAGUUCCAGACCUUUUAAACUCCAGUUGUGCCAACUUUUUCUCUAUUUCACCAUAAACAGAGAGAGAGGUGUUUGGGGCUUUUGGUGGAGUUAUCCGACUCUUCAAAGUUGGUGUUUCAGAACCUCUGCUUCCAUCUGGCUGCCUCCACGGUGCUGUUUCUAUUGGAAACUUUGAAUUUGGGAUAGGCUUCUUAACUGAAUCAACAUUUCUCAGCCGAGGUGAGAUAGGUUCCUUCUGAAGGUUUCUUGGGGAGCCAGGAACUCGAUUUUGCUUGUUCUCAUCGGUGGAUCUUGAUGCUCCGAGGGAGGGAUUCUUUUCAACAUCUGGGUGUGUUUUGAUGUGUCUUGUCUGAUUCCCAUUGGCUGACAUGGAACCUGGGAGAGCUUCCAAUCCCAUCAACUUGGCCACAACGUUAGACAGUCGUGUAUGGCUUUCAGGUUCUUGUUGGUUUAAGAAAUUGCUGAAGUUCCUAUUCCCCCUCUCUAAAUCUCCUAUAGGAUCACUUGAUUUCAUUUCAGUGGUGGAACCCCUCAUGGAUCCUGUUCUGCUGUCCAAUGAUAGCCUUGGCAACUCCCUAAGCUUUAUUGCGGAUUUGUAUGUGUCUCUUGAUUCCCUUCCGUCAUAAGAGAACCGUCGAGCAUCCUUCAGUCGAGAAGUUGAUGACACAAGCUUCUCUUCACUGGAUUUGCGAGGUUCUUCCUGAAGCUUGUGAAGAACUUGAAAUGAUCCCUUUAGACCUGAAACUUUGGGGUUUACAGAUUUUGGCUGCUGCAGAGGUCUUGGGGAAUCAAAGUACUUCAAGGUUUGGCCCCGAGAUUCCCCUUUGCUUACAGUUUUGACUGAUAAGCCACGGGCUUCUCUGUAGAUGGAGUCUUUGACAACAUCUCUGAGAUCAAGAGAUUGCUGGCUUGACUGGAAAGAAGCGUUUGGUUGGUAAAUGGGUGAAGGUAAAUCUCGAACACGAGUUUCAGGACCAAUGGUUUGAUUGAAUGAACAUGGUUCCAGGUGAGAUGCUCUGUUGCAUUCUAAUGAUGAGAGACUAGAUGAACAGGAGGAGGAUGAAAACGAGGUUCUGGAUGACUCUGUGGAGACUCUCUGUUUCUCUUUGAUGGCCUUGUGCUUCUUUUCUGUGGUCUUCUGAGAUGUACUCUUGGGCUCUAUACUAUGGUUGCCAUUUUGACCUGCUGGAAGUCUCUUGUGGUUUUGGCCAGUGAUACGGCGGCCACCACCGAGGAAAUGGUGACGGUCAAAGAGUUGAAAAAUUCCAUUCAUACAUCCAAUCUGUUUCUGCAGAUCUGGGUUUUCAUCUGAUAAAGUAUGGAUGAAUUUUGCAGACAUCUCUCUUCAAUGUAGAGAACGAAAACAGAGAAGACUCCUGUAAAACAAACUUAUUUAGCAUCAAAUUCUAACUCUCCAUCAGAAGUUUCAACAUUCCAUAACCUUCGAAAAUGCAGAAGAAACCAAAGAUGAGCUCAUUAGAAUCUUAGAAGAUUUUAACAUAAAUUAUGAAUUGAAUGUUUAAUGGUGGUCGCUCCACCAAUUGUUUUCCACUUCUCUGGCUAGUUACAACUUUGAGAGAACAUAGACUGUAGUUAUAGGUUUCUCUAAGAAGCAAGAGUAGAGGUUAUAGUUAUUCUGGAGUCCUCUCUUCCUGGGUUUUCAGGGAAUUCUUUUGAGUAGCAGAAGCUAACGAGGAAGAAGAUUUAAAGACAGAAGGAAAGAAACAAAGAACCUCUCAUCAUUACUCUACAACUGAGGAGAAAGAUAAUUGUUUCUCGGGUUUCACAGAGCAAGGCAAAAAACAAUAUCUUCUGCCAAAGCCAAAAGAAACAAAAAAGAAGGAUAAAAAGAGGAGGAAGAUGGGAAGGGACCCAACAUCCUAACAGUUAGCCAUUAGCCACACUUUCUAUGGAUUAUGAAAGGAAAAUGCAGUAGGGAAGUUCUGCAGACCCAAGAAGAGAUGUUUUGGGGGUUUCUUCACGUAACAAAAGAAUAAUUUGUCUUUUGGCUCUCUGUAGGAAAUAUAAAGGCAGCUGAGGAGGUCUGUAUUAUAUGCAAAGCCUUUGGAGAGAAUGAGAAAAUGGUACCAAAAGCCGAUCUUUUUUAUUGCUGCAUUUGCGUAAGAAUGGAUGUGGGAUGUUGGGUCAAAUCUGAUGUGUGAGAUGAGUGUGAGAGAGGGGC